Saccostrea cuccullata (small rock oyster) is the source of this 540-nucleotide long non-coding RNA. RefSeq lists it as uncharacterized. NCBI's taxonomy places the organism in Eukaryota, Metazoa, Mollusca, Bivalvia, Ostreida, Ostreidae. The transcript is spliced from 3 exons. The record is from RefSeq and is a predicted model, not a curated record.
GCCAGUAUAUCUCUGAGGGGACAGACUUGAAGAUAGAUUAAUUGACCUCUUUACGGGACCAAAGCUUUUUUAGCGAUGAAUUUUUGUCUAAUGGUCGCAAUCCUUCUUUGCAUUCCGACUGCAGAUUCAGUUUUAGGCCGAGCUGUUUGUGGAACUCAACCAUACAAUCCUGGUUAUCAAAUAUGCUGCAAUGGAGUAAUUAAUGGGAAAGGUACGAACAAUCUUUGCUGUGGAACUCGUUCAUACAACCCUGGUUAUCAAAUCUGCUGCAAUAAUGUAGUUAAUGGGAAAGGCUUGAACAUCCUUUGCUGUGGAACUCGUUCAUACAACCCUGGUUAUCAAAUCUGCUGCAAUGGAGUAAUAAAUGGGAAGGGUACGAACAAUCUUUGCUGUGGAACUCGGUCAUACAAUCCUGCUUAUCAAAACUGCUGCAAUGGAGUAAUAAAGGGGAAAAGUUCGAACAAUCAUUGCUGAGGAACUAAAGCUUUUAAUCCUACUUUAAACCGUUGCUGCAGUGGUGUUAUUUGUUAGAUAAUAUCU